AUCUGGGCUCCUCGGAACUCUCAUAAGGUUAACCCGGAACGGGACUGCGGUUGAUUCUGGAAAAGGGAGCCAAAUUGGAACCGAGAAAUUGAUCUCUAUACUGCAUUACGUACAAAAAUGUACAUUAUUCCUUUUGGCAUCGGAAUCGGCAAAUUGUGUUACAGUUGGUGUUAUUCAACUUCGGAUCCGUCAACGGGAGAGAAACACCUGCUAUGGCUAAAAUGAACCGGUGCUGAACAGAGUUAACGAACCUGAAACGGUCGCUGGUUCUCGAUAAGACCGAAAUUCUGCACCAGAUGUUGGCCG
Uranotaenia lowii is the source of this 306-nucleotide long non-coding RNA. RefSeq lists it as uncharacterized. The transcript is spliced from 3 exons. The record is from RefSeq and is a predicted model, not a curated record. NCBI's taxonomy places the organism in Eukaryota, Metazoa, Arthropoda, Insecta, Diptera, Culicidae.